RNAcentral lists this ribosomal RNA (669 nucleotides) under uncultured actinomycete. Its description in RNAcentral is "bacterial SSU rRNA". It matches the Rfam family "Bacterial small subunit ribosomal RNA", at positions 229 to 910 of the family's 1533-position model. Lineage: Bacteria; Bacillati; Actinomycetota; Actinomycetes; Actinomycetales. The record is from RNAcentral.
AUUCGCGGCCUAUCAGCUUGUUGGUGAGGUAACGGCUCACCAAGGCAUCGACGGGUAGCUGGUCUGAGAGGACGAUCAGCCACACUGGGACUGAGACACGGCCCAGACUCCUACGGGAGGCAGCAGCAGGGAAUUUUGCACAAUGAGCGAAAGCUUGAUGCAGCGACGCCGCGUGCGGGAUGACGGCCUUCGGGUUGUAAACCGCUUUCAGGAGGGACGAAGCGAAAGUGACGGUACCUCCAGAAGAAGCCCCGGCCAACUACGUGCCAGCAGCCGCGGUGAUACGUAGGGGGCGAACGUUGUCCGGAUUUAUUGGGCGUAAAGAGCUCGUAGGCGGCUCAGCAAGUCGGCCGUGAAAACCCGGAGCUCAACUCCGGGACGCCGGUCGAUACUGCUGUGGCUUGGGUUCGGUAGAGGAGAGUGGAAUUCCCGGUGUAGCGGUGAAAUGCGCAGAUAUCGGGAGGAACACCAGUAGCGAAGGCGGCUCUCUGGGCCGACACCGACGCUGAGGAGCGAAAGCUAGGGGAGCAAACAGGAUUAGAGACCCUGGUAGUCCUAGCCGUAAACGUUGGGUACUAGGUGUGGCGGAGUCAUUGACAUCUGCCGUGCCGUAGCUAACGCAUUAAGUACCCCGCCUGGGGAGUACGGAAUCGUCGAACCCGCCAGGCC